This is a small nucleolar RNA of Tripterygium wilfordii, 129 nucleotides long. Lineage: Eukaryota; Viridiplantae; Streptophyta; Magnoliopsida; Celastrales; Celastraceae. The record is from RefSeq and is a predicted model, not a curated record.
ACCAAUUCUGGGGGGUGAUUACAGUUCCUCCUGGUAUAAUGGCUUGGACGCUAUAAAUAGUUUGUGGCUAUGAUCCUGAUUUAUGGCUUUUCUCAAUGCCAUUUGAUCGUGGAAACACCACAUACAUGC